GGCUGGGCCGGGAAAAAAAGGGAAAAUCUCUUGUAUGACCAAUUCGACAGUCCGAUGAUCAGGCUGGAGCAUUGCAAUCUGAAGCUAAUACAAGCACCCAACAAGUUGCACUUCAACAUAGUGUAUCUACAAAUACAAGCAAUGUCAAUGGUCUAAACAUACCAAAAAGAUCUUCUUGGAUCCGUUUAUUUGAUGAGCCUGAGGUUCCUGAAGCAUCGAAUGGUACGAAAAAUGGAAGAAGAUGUGCAAAUAUCCAAGCUGAUGGUAAGGAGACCGCUACAAAAACUUUAGCUAAUGGGAUGGCAUUACCCACAUCUAUUGGGAUGCAAACUGAUAGUACUCCUUCCUCACAAAAUGUUGGAUCCAAUCAGUCCAUUGGUUACGAAAGUAAUGAAACUGGAAAUAGCAGGGAUCUUGAUUCAAAUGGAAAUGACCAAGUGAAUGCGCAGAGUAAAAGGGUAUUUACUCGUAACAUUGCAUUGUCAAAUAUAAAGAAGGCUGGGCAAAAGGUGCAUGUUCAAGUUUCAGAAAUGAGUGAAAGAUUCAUUGGAGAAGGUGCUUAAUGAUACAUUUCAGAAGCAAGUUGUGUGAUUCGGAAAUAUGGCAAAUGGAAAGGCCCCAAAUGGUCUCGACUCUCUAAAGAAGAUAGAGAACAAAUGCUGAAAAUUGCUAAUAAUAGCUUUACUCAUGAUGAAGGAGAUCAUGUCAAACAAGCUUUGGUUAAGCAGUUCAAUUCGCAACACCGAAGUCGACGAUAUACUUUUCACAUGAUUUUUAGGACAUUCGAGACAAAAGAGGGAAGCUCUUGCAAACCGUCCACCAUAUGUGGAAGAAUCUGACUGGAUUUACCUAUGUGACUACUUUUAUAGUUCAGAAUUUAAGGCAAUAAGUGAGUGAAAUAAGACGAAUAGAUCCAAGCAAAAACCUGCUCACACAGCUGGGACAAAAUCUUUUCUCCGUCAUAAGGCCGAUAGGGAAGUAAAAGAGGGAAGGAUAGUUGGACCAAUAGAGCUUUGUCACAUGACGCACUUUAGCGGGAAGAAGAAUGCUAUGGUUGAUGACAUAUCAGCUAAAAACUCAGUAAGAAAAAUGCUAAUCUCAACUUCACUCUCAUUAUUUCAGAUCUCCUAUUCAUAUAUUAGCUUUGAAAAUCUAUUUUUGUAGAGGAAGAUGAAAGAGAUGUAGUUGGAAUCUCAAGCUAGUGGUGCAAGUAGGACUGAGGAAGACAUAUGCAUUGAAGUUACUGGGCACAUAACUGGAUAUGUGCGUGGUCAUGGCCCCUCCAAAGCUAGCUUAAUAGUACAGAAGAUUGCAGAGAUUCAAGAGUUCAAGAAGAGAGCAGAACAAGCUGAGAAACGCUCAGUUGAGUUGGAAAUUCAAGUUCAAUCUCAACAACAACUUAUGCAAAGGCUUGAGCUCCAACAAACUGAAAUCAAAACCAGCAAACUGAAAUGCAGGAUCUCCUUAAGGCUUUAAGAGCCAAAUUGCAAUCUAGGAAGUAGGGCAAUGAAGUUCAUUGGACAAUCUUUGAUGAUUUGUCCAUUGAAUUGCUGUUUUUGGAUGAUCAUGAAUUAUGACUGGGCUGAUGAAUAUUAGAGAAUAUGGCUUUGACUGGAAGACAUUGGAGAGGCUAGUAGCUUUUGCUCAUGCCGUGCUUCACUUUAGGACUUUUCUUGUUUUUUGGACUGAACUUCUUUUUGUAAAGUUACAUUGUUUAGAUGCCAU
This is a long non-coding RNA of Coffea eugenioides, 1725 nucleotides long. RefSeq lists it as uncharacterized. NCBI's taxonomy places the organism in Eukaryota, Viridiplantae, Streptophyta, Magnoliopsida, Gentianales, Rubiaceae. The transcript is spliced from 8 exons. The record is from RefSeq and is a predicted model, not a curated record.